UACGGAGGGUGCAAGCGUUAUCCGGAAUCACUGGGCUUAAAGGGUGCGUAGGCGGCUGUAUAAGUCAGAGGUGAAAGCCCGGAGCUUAACUUCGGAACUGCCUUUGAUACUGUAUAGCUUGAAAUAGGUUGAGGUCAGCGGAAUGUGGCAUGUAGCGGUGAAAUGCAUAGAUAUGCCAUAGAGCACCAAUUGCGAAGGCAGCUGGCUGGCCCUUAUUUGACGCUGAGGCACGAAAGCGUGGGGAGCGAACAGG
RNAcentral lists this ribosomal RNA (253 nucleotides) under uncultured bacterium. Its description in RNAcentral is "partial 16S ribosomal RNA". It matches the Rfam family "Bacterial small subunit ribosomal RNA", at positions 524 to 776 of the family's 1533-position model. The record is from RNAcentral.